GCCUGACUUAACACUAAUCAUUCAUUGUGUACCGAAUAUUAGAAGGGAGAUGAGGAUGUGUGAGAAUUCACUUUGAAAACAUGGACUCAGUGUUGCAUAUCCUAAAGCUCCUAAGGGAUUAAACAAUCAGAACACCCUGCCUCAUUUGCAUUUGAAUGGAUAAAAAUAAGAGUUGAAACAUUUCCUUAUUCUUAAAACUACCAUGAAAAAGCUUGUGUAGUUAUAAGGACUGAAGUGGAGUUGGGGAAGGGAAGGAGACCGUAUGAAAUUUAAAGAAAAUUCAUUUCUUUUACAGAAUUGGAGCUGGGCUGAUGAAGCUGAGGUGCCUGACUCCGCUAGGGACACAUUUUCCUAAUGAAAACAAAAACAACCUCCAUCAUUACUCUCUCAUACCUUUGGAAAACUGAUGGAAGGAUGAACUCAACUAUCAAAUGUCAUCUUCAGCAGCAG
This 450-nucleotide long non-coding RNA is filed under the name Oryctolagus cuniculus (rabbit). RNAcentral's name for it is "lncRNA (ENSOCUG00000038793.1)". The record is from RNAcentral. Lineage: Eukaryota; Metazoa; Chordata; Mammalia; Lagomorpha; Leporidae.